Molecule: long non-coding RNA, 1144 nt
Filed under: Gossypium barbadense (sea-island cotton)
Lineage: Eukaryota; Viridiplantae; Streptophyta; Magnoliopsida; Malvales; Malvaceae
Description: long non-coding RNA (GBAR_LNC014573)
Source: RNAcentral
AUUUCACACGGGUUGUGGCGUAGUUUAAGCAGAGAGGGUGCGCAGGAUAAAGCUAUUCACCAUUGUUUCAACAUGAAGGUUUGUAAUAAAAAUUUGUUUCUAUCAGCAUUGCUUUGCAUUGCUGUUGCAGGAGUUUUGGGUCAAGCUCCUAGUAAUCCUCCUACGUCUACGCCGGCGCCACCCACACCACCGGCUUCUACUCCUCCUCCGACGACUCAAGCACCGCCUACACCAACCGCCACUCCGCCACCGGUUUCUACUCCUCCUCCCACUUCAUCACCGCCCCCAGUGACAGCUUCUCCACCCCCAGUUUCAACUCCUCCACCCAGUUCUCCUCCUCCUGCAACUCCACCACCUGCUUCUCCUCCUCCUGCAACUCCACCUCCAGCUUCUCCACCUCCUGCCACUCCUCCACCAGCUUCUCCACCUCCCGCCACUCCACCACCUGCAACCCCACCGCCAGCAACUCCUCCUCCUGCUACCCCACCACCAGCUCCAUUGGCUUCUCCUCCAGCCACAGUCCCAGCUAUCUCUCCAGUACAAACACCAUUGACAUCGCCACCAGCUCCGCCGACCGAGGCCCCAGCACCUACCCUCGGGGCUGCUACGCCAGGUCCAGCUGGAACUGACACGGUACAUUUUCUCUUAUUCCACCAUUUUAUAUCCUUCUUCUCCACCUACGAUCAAGCUUUAUUAUCGGUUGAAAUUUAAGCCUUUACAGCAAGACUUAAAAUAUAAUUUUAUUAAUGGUUUUAUAAUAUUAAAUUAUAAUUUUAUCAUUCUUACACAUUAAUAUAUAAUGUGAUAAAAUUUUUUACUUUGGGUACCGUGCCAACUUCCUAACGUCGCCCUUAAUCUUACAUAAACAACGAUCUGAGCUUGUCUCGAUAUUAGCUAACCCUUAAGCCAUUAGAGAUGGCUAUUGGUUCCGUCUCGACAUACCUUCAACAUAAUCUGAUUUAAAAUUAAAUACUUAUAUCUAUUUUUUAACACAAUAUUUAAAAUUAUCUAUAAUUUCUUCUCAACUUAUAAUUAAAAUAACAAUACUUCAGCGUAUUCAAAUUUACGUACCUAUGUUAAUCUAAUUUGACAAUAAUAUUUAUGUUAAUUGAAUUAAAGCUUGAGAUAUUAAAUUUAAUUAAGA